GAUGAACGCUGGCGGCGUGCUUAACACAUGCAAGUCGAACGAAAAAUGUAGACGGAAACCUUCGGGCGGAAGCCUUCAUUUCGAGUGGCGGACGGGUGAGUAACUCGUGGUUAACCUGCCUCAUACAGGGGGAUAACAGUUGGAAACGACUGUUAAUACCGCAUAAGACCACAGCAUCGCAUGAUGCGGGGGUAAAAACUCCGGUGGUAUGAGAUGGACCCGCGUUCGAUUAGACAGUUGGCAGGGUAACGGCCCACCAAAGCGACGAUCGAUAGCCGAUCUGAGAGGCUGACCGGCCACAUUGGGACUGAGACACGGCCCAAACUCCUACGGGAGGCAGCAGUGGGGAAUAUUGCACAAUGGGGGAAACCCUGAUGCAGCGACGCCGCGUGAGUGAAGAAGUACUUCGGUAUGUAAAGCUCUAUCAGCAGGGAAGAAAAUGACGGUACCUGAGUAAGAAGCCCCGGCUAACUACGUG
RNAcentral lists this ribosomal RNA (478 nucleotides) under uncultured bacterium. RNAcentral describes it as "partial 16S ribosomal RNA". It matches the Rfam family "Bacterial small subunit ribosomal RNA", at positions 28 to 507 of the family's 1533-position model. The record is from RNAcentral.